AUUGAACGCUGGCGGCAGGCCUAACACAUGCAAGUCGAGCGGUAACAGGAGAAAGCUUGCUUUCUUGCUGACGAGCGGCGGACGGGUGAGUAAUGUAUGGGGAUCUGCCCGAUAGGAGGGGGAUAAACUACUAGGAAACGGUGGACUAACUACCGCAUGACGUCUACGGGACCAAAGCAGGGGCUCUUCGGACCUUGCGCUAUCGGAUGAACCCAUAUGGGAUUAGCGUA
Molecule: ribosomal RNA, 230 nt
Filed under: uncultured Proteus sp.
Lineage: Bacteria; Pseudomonadati; Pseudomonadota; Gammaproteobacteria; Enterobacterales; Morganellaceae
Description: partial 16S ribosomal RNA
Rfam family: Bacterial small subunit ribosomal RNA
Source: RNAcentral